This 1046-nucleotide long non-coding RNA is filed under the name Fukomys damarensis (Damara mole-rat). Its description in RNAcentral is "lncRNA (ENSFDAG00000024443.1)". The record is from RNAcentral. Lineage: Eukaryota; Metazoa; Chordata; Mammalia; Rodentia; Bathyergidae.
CAGCUGUUUCCCUUUACACUCGGUCCCUUUCUUCUGAUAGGAAGAAUUGAGGACCAGGCCUUCCUAUAUGACUUUCACAUUUGACGGAACCAAACACUGGCGCCCAGGUGAGAAGGGCUAGGCCUUAAACGAGAGGAACACGUGCGAACUGUUCUCUGGGGCUGCAGGAGCUCACUCCCGCAGGGAGGGAGAAGUGUGUUCACAGCGAGCGAGGCAACCACGUAACAAAUCACGUCUUCUACGUUUGCAGGAGCCAGCUGCCCACCUUGGAACGCGGGCUCGUCUGCUCCGCACCCCUGUGAGUCCUCGUCCCUCAGAGUCACAUUCACAGAAGUCUGAAAACCACAGUCCUGGAGCACAGCAGCAAGAAAACGCUUUCCAGCUGCUCUACUGUACUUGAUGGCCCGAGGAGAAGCCUCCCCCUAAGCUGCUGUCCAGGGCUGGACCUGUGCCACUGGAAACAGAAGAGCAACUUUAUCACUUGACUUCAAGAAGAGCUCUCCCAGCAGCACAUGGAGACGAUGAUGAUGACAGAAUGCAAAGUGACAUCAGGAUCAGAACUGUCCAUCAUAGUUUGGUUUCUGUCAAAUGCACCAAGACAUACGAUGAGGCAAGUCCAACAAUAAUCUCAUGUAAUAUGGAUGUGCGUGGGUCACCAGGUCCUCCAGUGCUUACACCAUUGUCUCAUGACCAAGGAAAAGUUUGUUCACAUCUGUCCCAUGCCAUAAACAACAGAGAAUAACAACAAGUCACGAACACAUCUUCUGAUGAAGAAAUUAAAAGAAGACCCACAAUUGUUCACGAUUUCCGGAGGACUCUUUGAUGAUAGGUAUCAAACAACAAGGCAUGUUAGCUCUUUGAGUCAAAAAGUUCCCUGCUAAGGAAUUUAUCAAAUGGCAGAAAGUGGGAAACACCAGGCUGUUCCACCACACAGGACACGAUUAAAUAAAUCACAGUACAGCUAUGCAAUGAAAUGCUUUGCCAGUGUGAAAAGGACAAUUAAAAACAUGUAACCAGCACAAAAUAAAGUAAUGGAAACAUUCCUA